UCCGCUUUUGAAACUCUAUAUCCACAAUACUGUCAGGAGAUCUGCUGUUGUAGCCGGAAGACUUUGAUGCUGAGGAAGCUGAAUUGUUAAGGGGGGAAAGAGAGCAAGAAGAAGAAGUUUUUGAGAAUGUUGGUGAAAUAUUGAUAACAUUGAUCAGAGUUUUCAAGGCUACUUUCUUGCCUUUCCUUAAGGAGUUGUCACCAUAUUUGUUACCUAUGUGGGCCAAGGAGACAACAACUAAUGAGAGAUGUACAUCUAUUUGUAUCUUCGAUGCUCUUGUGGAGGUGUGCCCUGAAGAAGCUCUAAAGUACUAUGAUGUUUGUCUUCCAUUAAUUUUUGACGCAAGCAAUGACGAAAAUUCAGCUGUUAGACAGGUUUGUACAUCUUUAGCAGUUGUAACAGUUUUCAGUCAAGUUGCAUUUACUAUUUGAUUUGUCGGAGAACCAUAUGUCAUAUUCAGGCUGUUUUUUAUGGACUUGGACUGUGGGCGGAAUAUGGCGUUCUUCUUUCAAACCUU
Nicotiana tabacum (common tobacco) is the source of this 517-nucleotide non-coding RNA. The record is from RefSeq and is a predicted model, not a curated record. Lineage: Eukaryota; Viridiplantae; Streptophyta; Magnoliopsida; Solanales; Solanaceae.